RNAcentral lists this ribosomal RNA (484 nucleotides) under uncultured bacterium. RNAcentral's name for it is "partial 16S ribosomal RNA". It matches the Rfam family "Bacterial small subunit ribosomal RNA", at positions 30 to 507 of the family's 1533-position model. The record is from RNAcentral.
AUUGAACGCUGGCGGCAGGCCUAACACAUGCAAGUCGAGCGGAUGAAGUGAGCUUGCUCCUGGAUUCAGCGGCGGACGGGUGAGUAAUGCCUAGGAAUCUGCCUGGCAGUGGGGGAUAACGUCCGGAAACGGGCGCUAAUACCGCAUACGUCCUGAGGGAGAAAGUGGGUGAUCUUCUGACCUCACGCUAUCAGAUGAGCCUAGGUCGGAUUAGCUUGUUGGUGGGGUAAAGGCCUACCAAGGCGACGAUCCGUAACUGGUCUGAGAGGAUGAUCAGUCACACUGGAAGUGAGACGCGGUACAGACUCCUACGGGAGGCAGCAGAGGGGAAUAUUGGACAAUGGGCGAAAGCAUGAUCCAGCCAUGCCGCGUGUGUGAAGAAGGUCUUCGGAUUGUAAAGCACUUUAAGUUGGGAGGAAGGGCAGUAAGUUAAUACCUUGAUGUUUUGACGUUACCAACAGAAUAAGCACCGGCUAACUUCGUG